UCACCGGGAGCAUUGUAUGAUC
Molecule: microRNA, 22 nt
Filed under: Pristionchus pacificus
Lineage: Eukaryota; Metazoa; Nematoda; Chromadorea; Rhabditida; Neodiplogasteridae
Description: ppc-miR-2235a-3p
Source: miRBase by way of RNAcentral